This 642-nucleotide ribosomal RNA is filed under the name Ganoderma sp. 2 YD-2015. Its description in RNAcentral is "eukaryotic LSU rRNA". The stretch from base 251 to 404 matches the Rfam family "5.8S ribosomal RNA". Lineage: Eukaryota; Fungi; Basidiomycota; Agaricomycetes; Polyporales; Polyporaceae. The record is from RNAcentral.
UAAAANUCGUAACAAGGUUUCCGUNGGUGAACCUGCGGAAGGAUCAUUAUCGAGUUUUGACUGGGUUGUAGCUGGCCUUCCGAGGCAUGUGCACGCCCUGCUCAUCCACUCUACACCUGUGCACUUACUGUGGGCUUCAGAUCGUAAAACGGGUCCCUUUACCGGGCUUGCGGAGCGUGUCUGUGCCUGCGUUUAUCACAAACUCUAUAAAGUAUCAGAAUGUGUAUUGCGAUGUAACGCAUCUAUAUACAACUUUCAGCAACGGAUCUCUUGGCUCUCGCAUCGAUGAAGAACGCAGCGAAAUGCGAUAAGUAAUGUGAAUUGCAGAAUUCAGUGAAUCAUCGAAUCUUUGAACGCACCUUGCGCUCCUUGGUAUUCCGAGGAGCAUGCCUGUUUGAGUGUCAUGAAAUCUUCAACCUGCAAGCUUUUGUGGUUUGUAGGCUUGGACUUGGAGGCUUGUCGGCCGUUGUUGGUCGGCUCCUCUUAAAUGCAUUAGCUUGGUUCCUUGCGGAUCGGCUCUCAGUGUGAUAAUGUCUACGCUGCGACCGUGAAGCGUUUGGCGAGCUUCUAACCGUCUCAGUUGGAGACAACUUUAUGACCUCUGACCUCAAAUCAGGUAGGACUACCCGCUGAACUUAAGCA